This is a non-coding RNA of Caretta caretta (loggerhead turtle), 2365 nucleotides long. The record is from RefSeq and is a predicted model, not a curated record. NCBI's taxonomy places the organism in Eukaryota, Metazoa, Chordata, Testudines, Cheloniidae.
AGCCACAAGAUGCAGUGAUUUGGCAGAAGAAAAUGCAGAUGAAAUGGUGCAAACUCCACUUUCAAUUGAAGUCACCUGGCUUUUGCCACCCCUUUGAGCACAUAAUUUCCAGUGAAUCACAAUUUACCCACAAUGACAGUUUGAUGUUCCUGGCUGACAUUCAACUAAAUAUCAGCUAUAGAAGGUGGCUUUUUCAGGAAAUGGUGUUACAGGUGCAAUGUUGGAACCCCUUGCAAGUGGUACCUCCUUAGCUGGGGCCUGGCAGUUCUUAGUGAGCUGACCAAAGGUCUACCAAAGUUUUAAUAGUAAUGCUGAAGUCCCUUUGCCUGCCUCUGCCCCACCCAUCCCAAUCAUUGUUGGCAAGCAAGACUGUACUUUUGGAUGAAAGAAGAAAAAGGAUGAAUUUCCAUCAGUGCAUCACCUGGACUUGAGUCAGAUCUUCAGCUGAUGUUAAUCUGCAUGAUACCAUUGAAGGCAACUGCACCAUUUCCCCUUACCAUUCUAACAUGCCUCCUACGUUGGAGUUGCUACUCUCCACCGCUGGAGUGCAGUCAGAAUUCCAGUCUUCCACCAUGGUUCAGAAGCCUUGACAUUAGUUAGGAUGCUAGUUUCCUAUCUAUAGAACAGGACAAUGAGUUUUUCAAAGGAAAAUAAUAUUCACUUGUUUUAGUCAGAACUUUCUAAAAGAACAAAUACAUAGAGGGUACUAGACUAUUAAAGGAGUUAGUAUACUUUGACCCUAUGAAAGGUGUGACCCAGAGAACGCCUCAGUGCCAGAUGGCGAAGAGCACACUAUACUGUGACUCACAUCAUGCCUGACACACUCAUUGCCCCAACUCACUGUUGUCAUAAUCUGUAUCUAAAAAGUAAGGUAUUGUAUGUAAACACGCUGGUCAUUGAUACUGCAUGAUGUAUGUAUGGGCAGUAUAUAAAAAAUUAUAAAUGUGUGCUGGAAAUAUGUUUUUAAAAGGUGUUUGGCAUGCAGUGCAUAAGCCCAGCUGUCCUAAACCAAGGAGUGUUGUUUUGCCUGAUUGACUUUGUCUCCAACAUAAACUGAGCAAGGCAAGACCAGAAACAAUGGAACAUUUACACAGUACAUUUACACAGAAUGUAGACAAAGCCCUCAAGCUAUUAAGUGGAAGAAAUAAACACUUAAUGAUCAUGAUGGGGGUGGAGGCUGUUACCCCCAGGAAGCUUUCCUGGCUUUUGAAACAGAUGGACUUUGGAAAAUAUAAGCAGAAACAGAAAACUAUUUUGGCAUCCAUCACCUGAGGGACACAGCAGGUCAGAGCACUUGAAAUCUGAGAAAGCUGGAUCCUUCAACCAAGAGGGCUGAAGCCACUGGGAACUGACUGUAGGUGGAAAACCUUCUUAGACAAAGAUUGUUACUUCCUGAAGUUAGGUUUUAGUCACUAGAAAGUGUGUUGGUAACCUUUCAAUGUCUCUUACUCUUACUUGAAAUCACUCAAACCUAUGUUCCUUGUUAAACUUAUUAGUUUUGUAAUAAAAAAAAUUCUCAGUGCUGUUAUAUUGAAGUGAAGUGUAAGUCUUCAGCUAACCUAAUAGACUAUUGUCUGCUCUGUCUCUUUGGAGGCAGUGAACUUAAUAACUUCUGUGAGUGUCCAGUGAGAGGGACUGGAGACUGCAGGAAGACUUCUCUGGGGAACUUGGGAAAUAAGGUUCACUGUUACCUGUAAGGCAAAGUUUGGACUGGCAUAGUCCUGAAGAAUCAGCUGGCAAGGCAGACAAGCUGGUAUGCCAGGGCGCUGACAAAUAGUUUAGCAGCAGCACAGUUCACUCACACUGAGGUAUAGUGGUAACACACUGGCACACUGUUUUGGUUGACUUGAGCAAGACGUCACAAGUGGGACUCAGAAUUAAAAACAAAGACAUCAAAAUAAUCAAGGUGGGCCAUUUCCAGCAGUUGACAAGAACGUCUGAGGAACAGUUGGGGUGGAGGGGGAAUAAACAUGGGGAAAUAGUUCUACUUUCUGUAAUGACCCAUCCACUCCCAGUCUUUAUUCAAGCUUAAGUUAAUUGUAUCCAGUUUGCAAAUUAAUUCCAUUAUUCAGCAGUCGCGCGUUGGAGUCUGUUUUUUAAGUUUUUUUAUGGAAGAAUUGCCACUUUUAGGUCUGUAAUCAUUAAUUGUAAUUGUUCUUGUCAACUGCUGGAAAUGGCCCACCUUGAUUAUCACUACAAAAGGUCCGUCCCCCCUCCCCGCUCUCCUGCUGGUAAUAGCUCACCUUACCUGAUCACUCUCCUUACACCCAUUGUUUCAUGUUCUCUGUGUAUAUAAAUCUCCCCACUGUAUUUUCCACUGAAUGCAUCCAAUGAAGUGAGUUGUAGCUCAUGAAAGCUUAUGCUC